GAUGAACGCUGGCGGCGUGCCUAAUACAUGCAAGUCGAGCGAACAGACGAGGAGCUUGCUCCUCUGACGUUAGCGGCGGACGGGUGAGUAACACGUGGAUAACCUACCUAUAAGACUGGGAUAACUUCGGGAAACCGGAGCUAAUACCGGAUAAUAUAUUGAACCGCAUGGUUCAAUAGUGAAAGACGGUUUUGCUGUCACUUAUAGAUGGAUCCGCGCCGCAUUAGCUAGUUGGUAAGGUAAUGGCUUACCAAGGCAACGAUGCGUAGCCGACCUGAGAGGGUGAUCGGCCACACUGGAACUGAGACACGGUCCAGACUCUUACGGGAGGCAGCAGUAGGGAAUCUUCCGCAAUGGGCGAAAGCUUGACGGAGCAACGCCGCGUGAGUGAUGAAGGUCUUCGGAUCGUAAAACUCUGUUAUUAGGGAAGAACAAAUGUGUAAGUAACUAUGCACGUCUUGACGGUACCUAAUCAGAAAGCCACGGCUAACUACGUG
Molecule: ribosomal RNA, 497 nt
Filed under: uncultured bacterium
Lineage: Bacteria
Description: partial 16S ribosomal RNA
Rfam family: Bacterial small subunit ribosomal RNA
Source: RNAcentral